This 403-nucleotide ribosomal RNA is filed under the name uncultured bacterium. RNAcentral describes it as "partial 16S ribosomal RNA". It matches the Rfam family "Bacterial small subunit ribosomal RNA", at positions 28 to 526 of the family's 1533-position model. The record is from RNAcentral.
GUCGAACGCUGGCGGCGUGCCUAAUACAUGCAAGUCGAACGCAGUGGGGACGGGUGAGUAACACGUGGGUAACCUCCCAUCAGAGGGGAUAACACUUGGAAACAGGUGCUAAACCGAUACUGAUGGAUGGACCCGCGGUGCCUUAGCUAGUUGGUGAGGAAACGGCGCACCAAGGCCACGAUGCCUAGCCGACCUGAGAGGGUGAUCGGCCACACUGGGACUGAGACACGGUCCAGAAUCCUACGGGAGGCAGCAGUAUGGAAUCUUGGGCAAUGGACGAAAGUCUGACCGAGCAACGCCGCGUGAGUGAAGAAGGUUUUCGGAUCGUAAAACACUGUUGUUAGAGAAGCGGUAUCUAAACAGAAAGCCACGGCUAACUACGUGCCAGCAGCCGCGGUAAUAC